Erythranthe guttata (spotted monkey flower) is the source of this 663-nucleotide non-coding RNA. The record is from RefSeq and is a predicted model, not a curated record. NCBI's taxonomy places the organism in Eukaryota, Viridiplantae, Streptophyta, Magnoliopsida, Lamiales, Phrymaceae.
CGCCGGCCAGAUGUAUAAAUAUUUAAUCCUCUAAUAAAUUAACACAAAGGCGAAAAGGUCAGAUAACCCUAAUUCCGGCAAAUUCCUCUUUCCAAAAAUCAACAAAAAUUCAGACCCAUCGGAAGAAGAAAAAAAGAAUAGCAAUGGAGAAUUCAAACGAAUCUACGUACUACGAAAAAGUGGACGGCCUCGCGCGGUGGGUGGGUAUGAGCGUCGCGUCGGCGUUUUUCGCUUCCCUGGAGCGGUGCUCCUGCGUCAACCUCACCACCUUCGACACCGAAGACGACGACGAAGAGGCCAAGGAUCGUCCUCUGAUGCUCACAUCUUUCCCCUCCGUCAAUUCCACCGCCUCUUCUUCUUCCUAUGCGGGGAAUCAUAAUGUCAAUUUCAACAAUUCUUCCUCCGCUGUUGAAAAUCUACCCGUCUGAUUUGGAUCGUGAUGGUUCAUCCCUUGAUUAUCGGGCUUCUUGUUAACAAUGUGUAAUAUCGUUGAAGUCUGGAUUGCGGGCAUGUGGAAGAGACGUACAGGCGGUGUUUGUUCAUUUUCAUCGUUUUUUAUUCGAUUGUACUGUUAAUUGUUGUAUAUUUGAAAAGUAUUUACUGCUGUGUGGUUGACCGGCGUUUACUUGUGCUUAUUGAUGUUACUUUCUUUCUCCUGCCCGA